Molecule: ribosomal RNA, 168 nt
Filed under: Chaetodon melannotus (blackback butterflyfish)
Lineage: Eukaryota; Metazoa; Chordata; Actinopteri; Chaetodontiformes; Chaetodontidae
Description: partial 12S rRNA
Source: RNAcentral
CACCGCGGUUAUACGAGAGACUCAAGUUGACAGUCAUCGGCGUAAAGAGUGGUUAAGAUGUACAAAAACUAGAGCUAAAUGCCCUCAAAGUUGUUAUACGCUCUCGAGGGAAAGAAGCCCAACUACGAAAGUGGCUCUAACAUAUCUGAUUCCACGAAAGCUAGGGCA